RNAcentral lists this ribosomal RNA (387 nucleotides) under uncultured bacterium. RNAcentral's name for it is "bacterial SSU rRNA". It matches the Rfam family "Bacterial small subunit ribosomal RNA", at positions 29 to 418 of the family's 1533-position model. The record is from RNAcentral.
AUUGAACGCUGGCGGCAUGCCUUACACAUGCAAGUCGAACGGCAGCACGGGGCAACCUGGUGGCGAGUGGCGAACGGGUGAGUAAUGCAUCGGAACGUGCCAUUGAGUGGGGGAUAACGUAGCGAAAGUUGCGCUAAUACCGCAUAUUCUGUGAGCAGGAAAGCAGGGGGACCGCAAGGCCUUGCGUUCUGGGAGCGGCCGAUGUCGGAUUAGCUAGUUGGUGGGGUAAAAGCCUACCAAGGCGACGAUCCGUAGCGGGUCUGAGAGGAUGAUCCGCCACACUGGGACUGAGACACGGCCCAGACUCCUACGGGAGGCAGCAGUGGGGAAUUUUGGACAAUGGGCGGAAGCCUGAUCCAGCCAUGCCGCGUGAGUGAAGAAGGCCUC